UUAAUCCACUAUUAACCACACCUUUUCCCCAAUUACCUCAUCAUUAUCUGAUUUUCCUCCAUACCUCCUCAGUAGGACCCUGUGAGUACCCUCCUAUGCGCUUGUUCAAAAACAUUGUGGACAAUGUUGAGUUCAAGUGUGGGGGAGAUUUUAUGUUUUUUUUAGUAUUUGGUUAUUGUGUUAUAUAUAUUUAUUUAUUUUUUACUUUUGUAUUCUAGAUUUAAUUUGUCCGU
RNAcentral lists this long non-coding RNA (233 nucleotides) under Lathyrus oleraceus (garden pea). Its description in RNAcentral is "Pisum sativum (pea) long non-coding RNA (PSAT_LNC023236)". The record is from RNAcentral. Lineage: Eukaryota; Viridiplantae; Streptophyta; Magnoliopsida; Fabales; Fabaceae.